This is a long non-coding RNA of Poeciliopsis prolifica (blackstripe livebearer), 999 nucleotides long. RefSeq lists it as uncharacterized. The record is from RefSeq and is a predicted model, not a curated record. The transcript has 8 exons. NCBI's taxonomy places the organism in Eukaryota, Metazoa, Chordata, Actinopteri, Cyprinodontiformes, Poeciliidae.
CAAAACCUGCAGCUGUCAGGUUGAUACAGUAUUUAUAUCUGUGAGCAUUAUUGACAUUACUAGUGUUAGUCAGCUUGAUGAAAUGUUUUAGUCGCUAAGUGAAAGCGAAAGCUGUUUUCUGACUCUCUCUCAUGGGUGCCUCUUACUGUCUGUGUAUUUCCACGGUGGCUCAGCAGCAGAAAUCGUUUCUACAAUGGCGUGAAGAAAAGUCCUAUCUGUGCCGUCAUUAGUGAUUCAGUAUGAAGGAAGACAUUAAGUACCACGGUUGAGAAACCAAGGAGCAACAUGUUACCUGAACAGCAUUCUGCAGGUUCAGUUCAUGACCAGAGAGUUCAGAGAGGCUGUAGAAAGUUGUUCAAAACACCAAGAAGACAAAUCAAUGUUCGACUCCAUACUUUGUUUGAGAGUCUAAAGAAAAAAAUCAGAAACCACAGAAGUUACAAAGAUGCUGAGAAUUGAAAAAGUGUAUGAACAGCAGGAUGUUGGUCAGUACCUGGAGAAGAUUUUAUCUCUGGUCAGCGAUGAAGCGUCACAGAUAUUCAGAGGAGAGCUGGUUCACAGGACUGUUUGUGAUCAAUGUGACUCAGACACUGAAGACUUGGUGCCUUUUUGGUUUCUUUCUCUCCCACUGAUGGAUUCUAGUGACGGAAACUACAGUGUGGAAGACGCAAUUCGGGAGUUUUUAAAGGAUGUACGGUUUUGGAGAAGACCAGCUGUACUGUGAUAAAUGUGAAGACAAUCGUGACACUACUGUUAAAUAUGAACUAAAGCAUCAUCCACAGAUUUUGAUUUUGCUGCUGAAGAGGUUCGAAUACAACUAUCAGUGCAUGUCAUACAGUAAAGACAAUCGUGCUGUGGAUGUUUGUCACACCAUCGACUUACCAGAGAACCAGACAUAUGAGCUGUAUGGUUGGUGGAUCACUUUGGGAUUCUGAGCAGAGACCAUUACACAGCAACAAUCAAGCCUGAGGACGAAGAAAACUGGUAUGAGUUCAGUGA